RNAcentral lists this ribosomal RNA (484 nucleotides) under uncultured bacterium. Its description in RNAcentral is "partial 16S ribosomal RNA". It matches the Rfam family "Bacterial small subunit ribosomal RNA", at positions 29 to 523 of the family's 1533-position model. The record is from RNAcentral.
AGUGAACGCUGGCGGCGUGCUUAACACAUGCAAGUCGAACGAGAACGGGUUAUAGCUUGCUAUAAUUGUCAGCUAAGUGGCGCACGGGUGAGUAAUGUAUAGGUAAUAUGCCUCUUACUAAGGGAUAACAAAUGGAAACGUUUGCUAAUACCUUAUACUCCUUAUUAACAGAAGUUAAGAAGGGAAAGAUUUAUUGGUAAGAGAUUAGCCUGUAUUGUAUCAGUUAGUUGGUGGGGUAAUGGCUUACCAAGACUAUGACACAUAACUGGUUUGAGAGGAUGAUCAGUCACACUGGAACUGAGACACGGUCCAGACUCCUACGGGAGGCAGCAGUGGGGAAUAUUGCACAAUGGACGAAAGUCUGAUGCAGCAACGCCGCGUGGAGGAUGACACAUUUCGGUGCGUAAACUCCUUUUAUAUGAGAAGAUAAUGACGGUAUUAUAUGAAUAAGCACCGGCUAACUCCGUGCCAGCAGCCGCAGUAA